Molecule: RNA transcript, 4382 nt
Organism: Cygnus atratus (black swan)
Lineage: Eukaryota; Metazoa; Chordata; Aves; Anseriformes; Anatidae
Gene: AFTPH
Gene name: aftiphilin
Exons: 11
Source: RefSeq, a predicted model, not a curated record
GACGCGGUUCCUGUCGCCGUGACAUGGGUUCCCCCUCGAUGGCGGCUGCCGCGGGAGGCCUCAGAUAACCGGCCGCGUCCCCUCUCCCCUUCCCCACCGCAGCCAUGCCCGCCCGGGCCCCGCCGCCCCCCGCGCAGCCCUCAGAAAUAUAGUAACUUUGAAGUGGAACUAAACAAUGGAACCAGACAUCAUUCGAAUGUAUUCCUCAUCCCCUCCACCACUAGACAAUGGAGCUGAUGAUGAUGAUGAAGAUGAAUUUGGGGAAUUUGGAGGCUUUUCUGGCGUAAGCACUGCUGGCGUAGCUUUUGCGGAUUUUGAUACUCCAGACUACAGUCAUCCGAAGGAGGAGUUUAUACCCACAAAUCAUUUUAUCCCCCUUCAUGAUUAUUCUGACAAUGUAGCUAGCAUUGCAACUUUCACAUCCGUUAAAAAUGUUAAAGACUGCAUUGCAGAGCUUCCUACUCCUACUAAGGAACUUUCUGAUAUGUCAGCUACUAGUACCAGCAAAGAAAAAUCUAAGUUUAGAACUUCAGGUCCUGCUUUUGAUGUAAGUUUAGAAGAUAUAAACAAAAGAGGGGAACGAAGAGAGAACACUGGGAAAUCAGAGAGUUUUUCUUCUGAUGUCAUUAGAACUGAUACAGCGGUUGAAAGCCAGGAUGAGCAAAUAGAUGCUUGCAAUGGUGAGAAACUUCCAUGUCUAGAGAUUCUAACAAACGGAUUUGCAGCAUCGGACUCUGUAAAUCCUCAGGGAACAGAAGAUCUAGACAGCAUCGGUGACGCAAAGGGACUAAAAACUGUUAGCACCCAUAGUACUGAGCUAAGUUUGAACUCAAUGCCUAGCUCGGGUGAAGGCUUUGCAGAUUUUGCUACAUUUUCAAACAAAAAAACAAUCCAUUUAGAGGCAACAGGGCCUACAAUAUGCAGUGUUCUUAAUGAAAGAGACUCUCUGAGCAUUCAGGAAAACAAUAGAAUAAACAGAGUAACUCAUACUGCAGAAGAGACUUGCGUUGCAGAAGCUAGCUGUGAACAGGGUUCCUCAGCACUGGAAGAUAAUGAAUUCACAAUUUUUAGUACGUCUCAAACAACUGGAAGUUCAAUAUGCACUAUUGAAAACAGAGAAAACAAUGGGAGAGGAAACCUACAUGAUACAGAGAAUGGCAAAGGUUUUUCUCAGCCCGAUGACUUUUCAGGAUCAGAGGACGUCAAAGUUGAUGAGAUCCAAAGCCUAAGCAGUGAUCUUGCAGGAGAAGACGUGGGUGAUUCUGAGGAUGUUAAGAAUGGUGGAAGUAGUACUGAAGUUGUAGCUUGCCGUGACACACAUGACGACGACUUUGGUGAUUUUGGUUCAGUCAGCAGUGCAUCUUCCACUUCCGUUAAUGCUCAAGAAUCAAUAAACGCUCAGGCUUUAGAAGGAACUUCUGAACAGCCUGCAAAUAUUAGCAAACCUAAUGAUGCAUUUGGUGAAUUCAGGGACACAAGUACUGUUUCUCAGCUGCCAGCAACGUUGGAUCAAGCUGAACUAAAUCAGACUGCUGACACUUUAGAAUGUAAUGCUACCAGUAAAAUUUCUGGCUUAGACUUCCAGCAUACUGUUGAGGUAGAAAAUGGUGAUGAUAGCGAGUUUGGAGACUUUGAUUCAGUGCCAAAACCUCAAGAUGAGAGCGUUGCUUUUCAGGACUCUGAUGACUUUGCGGACUUCAGUUCAGCAGGUUGUAACCAGGCUACUGAGUGGAAUGCUUUUGAAGAUGAACAAAAAGACAGCUGUUCUUGGGCUGCCUUUGGAGAGGAGCAGGCUGGUGAAUCUCAUCACAGAAAAGAGACAUGGCAGUCACAUAGGACAGAUGCAUCUGUGAGGAUUGAUGGCCCAGUAUUACACAAGACUGACAGUUUUGCUUUAGCAUCUUUCCAAGGAUCUACCAGUAAGCAAUCUCAAGAGCCAGCACCUUCAGUUCAGACAACAUUACUAGGUCGUCUGGAACGAAUAUUUGAAGUCUGUUUUCCUUCCAUGCCUGUUCUUGAAAUUGAAGAAGAAAUAAUUUCCUUGAAUCAUUUGCUGGAAGCAGGUGAAAAGCAGAUGACAACUGAGGAGACCGUAGCAAAUACUGGGGAACUGAUGGACGUGUGGACAGAGCUGCAGGAUAUCCACGAUGCGUAUGGACUGCGAUACCAGUGGGGUGGCUCCCACAGCAACAAAAAGCUUUUGUGCUCCUUGGGAAUUGACACCAGAAAUAUUCUCUUUACAGGCAACAAGAAACAGCCUGUUAUAGUACCCAUGUAUGCAGCAGGACUGGGUAUGUUAGAACCUACCAAGGAACCUCUGAAACCGAUAUCUGCAGCAGAAAAAAUAGCUUCCAUAGGACAGACACCUCUUGUAUCACCGGAGAUGAACACGUGUACAUCCGAUCAGUUCCAGGAAUCUCUACCACCUGUCCAGUUUGACUGGAGUAGCAGUGGCCUUACUAACCCUUUAGAUGGUGUGGAUCCUGAGUUGUAUGAAUUGACAACCUCAAAACUGGAAACUUCCAACGCAAGCAACAGAGUGACCGAUGCAUUUGCAAGACUCAUGUCCACAGUAGAGAAGGCAAGCACGUCCACAAGGAAGCCUAAAAAGGAAGAACAUCUUAGUGAAGAGGCUGCCAAGGUGAUUUCUAGCCUUCCUGACUUAACUUUCAUGCAUGCCAAGGUGUUGAUGUUCCCAGCCACAUUAACACCUUCGACAAGCUGCCAAGAAAAGCAAAAUUGAUGCACUGCAGUAACAGUAGAACCUUCUAAUCUGUGCCGCGCAGUCUCACAAGACACACCUGUCAGGGUCCUGCAGAAGGAGAAGCAGACUUCUCUUUAUUGUCCUGUCUCCUUGAAUAUGUUAUGGUGCAGUCUUCUGGUUUGGCCUCCAACUUACAGGGCACUGUGGCUCAAGACGUGUUCGUGUUUUGGGUUAGAGACUUCUUCAAAGUAACGGGCAAUACUGAUGCAUAAGAAACACGAAGUCAGGCUGAGGCCAUGGCAUCGUUUUUCCUUAGCAGUCUUCGCCGUUGUCCACCUGGGGUUUUCAUCUACGGAGGUACUCAGCAAGACGCAUGGGGACUGCCUGCCCCCGUGCCCCUCUGAGGGGACCCUGAGCUCUGGGGAGAGGCCACAGCCAGCAGGACAGCACCACACAUUCUCCUGUGCAGCUAAGUGCAAGGCACACCUCUGGGUUCAGAGCAGUAGCAAGCUGUUAAAACAGUUUCCAGCAAACUGCUGCUGCCCAUCCUUGUGCGUUUAUAAAAUAGGAAAAAACACUUCUAUUUUAUUUUUUUUUAAACUGUUUUCAAACCUGGAUUGGGUUUGACGUUUGAAAUACCUGCUCUUUGCUUUCUGCCCUGUCUCCUGAGGAGUUUGGUGGGAUGCCUGGGAGCUGCGAAUUAGGUAGGCUGUGCUAAAGCCUGGGUUCAUUUAAAAAUACAGCAGUUCGAAAAACGCGUGGCCUUACUCUCCCUUCUUCCCUGGCAUGCAGAGCAAUCAUAUUUUGAAUGAAAACACGGGGCGAGAACAAAGCCAUGGCUAAAUCCAAUCUAUUUCCCUGGGCCUAAACGAAGAGCACUGCUCCCUGUCCCAGCAGGCCAGCCCGUGUCCCCAUUGAAGGGCUCCGAGCAUCCAGCAGCCUGUAUUAACCUCCCAACAACAGCCCAGGCAAGGCUGGAGGGGGGUGAGGCUUUCUGGAAGUGCGUAUGGAUGCCUUUUCUUUGCAUCCUCAGACCCAGGGGCUUAACUCCUUGCUGCCCUGGCUCUUGCACACGCCUGCCGCAGAGGUGGAUGCGACUGCAGAGCACCAAGUGACAAAUGAGCAGGGGCUUAAAACAAAACAAAUCGGGAAACAAAAAGAAAAUCGCACCGUGGUGUGGCAUUAAACCUGUGAAUUGCAUUAGAAAGUCAGAAACCUACAUCCAGAGAUUAAAAAUAACACCGCUUUUAUGAGAGCAGCGAGAAUGCCUGCUAAUUGUUGGUUUACACGAGAAAAGCAGAAACAUGCUGAAAAAUUGGCUCACAAUAGCAGUUGCUGUAUCAUAAUCUCCUGGUUCCAUUCUUGCCUUGCUAAUAAGAAGUAAGACUAAUUUAACUUUUACAACGUCCCAAAUCUGUGGCUAUACGAUUCAGAGACUUAAUAAGAUUCUCCUGCCGAGCCAAGAAAAGCUUAGCGGUUUUUAGCUUACUUUCUUCUUCUGGGUUUCAGUUUCAGGACAUUCGUGCAAUGGCUGUGACAUUUUAUUUUAUUUUUAUUUUUUUAAGCCUGCAUUUCAUCAGAAUUACUGAUGUCUCUGUUUAAGUUAUUAUAGGUGUAAAUUGGUUGUACUGGAGCUGGGUAAAAUCUCCGGCUGGCGUUUUUCUAGUAAAAAAAAAAA